This 72-nucleotide transfer RNA is filed under the name Candidatus Omnitrophota bacterium. RNAcentral's name for it is "tRNA-Ile". It matches the Rfam family "tRNA". Rfam says of the family: Transfer RNA (tRNA) molecules are approximately 80 nucleotides in length. Their secondary structure includes four short double-helical elements and three loops (D, anti-codon, and T loops). The record is from RNAcentral. Lineage: Bacteria; Pseudomonadati; Candidatus Omnitrophota.
GCGCGCGUAGUUCAGUGGUAGAACGCGUCACUGAUAAUGACGAGGUCCUAGGUCCGAUUCCUAGCGCGCGCA